This 415-nucleotide ribosomal RNA is filed under the name uncultured bacterium. RNAcentral describes it as "bacterial SSU rRNA". It matches the Rfam family "Bacterial small subunit ribosomal RNA", at positions 917 to 1333 of the family's 1533-position model. The record is from RNAcentral.
GGGCCCGCACAAGCAGUGGAGCAUGUGGUUUAAUUCGAUGCAACGCGAAGAACCUUACCAGGCCUUGACAUCCUCGGAACUUUCUAGAGAUAGAUUGGUGCCUUCGGGAACCGAGUGACAGGUGCUGCAUGGCUGUCGUCAGCUCGUGUCGUGAGAUGUUGGGUUAAGUCCCGCAACGAGCGCAACCCACGUCUUUAGUUGCCAGCAUUUAGUUGGGCACUCUAGAGAGACCGCCGGUGAUAAACCGGAGGAAGGUGUGGAUGACGUCAAGUCAUCAUGCCCCUUACAUCCUGGGCUACACACGUACUACAAUGGGGAAUACAGACGGACGCUAAGCCGCGAGGUGGUGCUAAUCCUAGAAAGUUUCUCGUAGUCCGGAUUGGAGUCUGCAACUCGACUCCAUGAAGUCGGAAUC